GCGAUAGUAGCUCAGACAGAGCAUCGGGCUUGUAACUCGAAGGCCAGGGAUUGAGACCCCUCUACCGCU
RNAcentral lists this transfer RNA (69 nucleotides) under Lophiodes caulinaris (spottedtail angler). Its description in RNAcentral is "tRNA-Thr". It matches the Rfam family "tRNA". Rfam says of the family: Transfer RNA (tRNA) molecules are approximately 80 nucleotides in length. Their secondary structure includes four short double-helical elements and three loops (D, anti-codon, and T loops). Further hydrogen bonds mediate the characteristic L-shaped molecular structure. tRNAs have two regions of fundamental functional importance: the anti-codon, which is responsible for specific mRNA codon recognition, and the 3' end, to which the tRNAs corresponding amino acid is attached (by aminoacyl-tRNA synthetases). tRNAs cope with the degeneracy of the genetic code in two manners: having more than one tRNA (with a specific anti-codon) for a particular amino acid; and 'wobble' base-pairing, i.e. permitting non-standard base-pairing at the 3rd anti-codon position. The record is from RNAcentral. Lineage: Eukaryota; Metazoa; Chordata; Actinopteri; Lophiiformes; Lophiidae.